RNAcentral lists this ribosomal RNA (119 nucleotides) under Pteropus alecto (black flying fox). The record is from RNAcentral. Lineage: Eukaryota; Metazoa; Chordata; Mammalia; Chiroptera; Pteropodidae.
UUCUAUGGCCAUGCCACCCUAAACAUGCCCAGUCUCAUCUGAUCUUAGAAGCUAAGCAGGGGUGGGCCUGGUUAGUACUUGGAUGGGAGACCACCUAGGAAGACCGGGUGCUGUAGGCG